This 470-nucleotide ribosomal RNA is filed under the name uncultured organism. Its description in RNAcentral is "partial 16S ribosomal RNA". It matches the Rfam family "Bacterial small subunit ribosomal RNA", at positions 334 to 796 of the family's 1533-position model. The record is from RNAcentral.
CACUCCUGCGGGAGGCAGCAGUGGGGAAUAUUGCACAAUGGGCGCAAGCCUGAUGCAGCCAUGCCGCGUGUAUGAAGAAGGCCUUCGGGUUGUAAAGUACUUUCAGCGGGGAGGAAGGCGAUAAGGUUAAUAACCUUGUCGAUUGACGUUACCCGCAGAAGAAGCACCGGCUAACUCCGUGCCAGCAGCCGCGGUAAUACGGAGGGUGCAAGCGUUAAUCGGAAUUACUGGGCGUAAAGCGCACGCAGGCGGUCUGUCAAGUCGGAUGUGAAAUCCCCGGGCUCAACCUGGGAACUGCAUUCGAAACUGGCAGGCUAGAGUCUUGUAGAGGGGGGUAGAAUUCCAGGUGUAGCGGUGAAAUGCGUAGAGAUCUGGAGGAAUACCGGUGGCGAAGGCGGCCCCCUGGACAAAGACUGACGCUCAGGUGCGAAAGCGUGGGGAGCAAACAGGAUUAGAAACCCUAGUAGUCC